Molecule: small nuclear RNA, 185 nt
Organism: Papaver somniferum (opium poppy)
Lineage: Eukaryota; Viridiplantae; Streptophyta; Magnoliopsida; Ranunculales; Papaveraceae
Product: U2 spliceosomal RNA
Exons: 1
Source: RefSeq, a predicted model, not a curated record
ACACCUUUCUCGGCCCUCUGGCUAAGAUUUAUUAGAUUAAUAUCUGAUAGUGCAGGUCUCUUCGACGGCAAGGUAUUAAUUUUUUUUUUCAUGGGGGAGUUCCCACCACAGCAGCUUGCUGCUGGGGGGUUCCCAUGCGUCGCAUCUGCGUUGCAGAACAACUGCAAAGGACUGGCGCACCCCCU